RNAcentral lists this ribosomal RNA (361 nucleotides) under Pannonibacter sp. R-27042. Its description in RNAcentral is "bacterial SSU rRNA". It matches the Rfam family "Bacterial small subunit ribosomal RNA", at positions 17 to 408 of the family's 1533-position model. Lineage: Bacteria; Pseudomonadati; Pseudomonadota; Alphaproteobacteria; Hyphomicrobiales; Stappiaceae. The record is from RNAcentral.
UCCUGGCUCAGAACGAACGCUGGCGGCAGGCUUAACACAUGCAAGUCGAACGCCCCGCAAGGGGAGUGGCAGACGGGUGAGUAACACGUGGGAACAUACCCUUUGGUGCGGAACAACAGCUGGAAACGGCUGCUAAUACCGCAUGCGCCCUACGGGGGAAAGAUUUAUCGCCGAAGGAUUGGCCCGCGUCUGAUUAGCUAGUUGGUGAGGUAAUGGCUCACCAAGGCGACGAUCAGUAGCUGGUCUGAGAGGAUGAUCAGCCACACUGGGACUGAGACACGGCCCAGACUCCUACGGGAGGCAGCAGUGGGGAAUAUUGGACAAUGGGCGCAAGCCUGAUCCAGCCAUGCCGCGUGAGUGA